RNAcentral lists this ribosomal RNA (433 nucleotides) under uncultured bacterium. Its description in RNAcentral is "partial 16S ribosomal RNA". It matches the Rfam family "Bacterial small subunit ribosomal RNA", at positions 29 to 507 of the family's 1533-position model. The record is from RNAcentral.
AACGAACGCUGGCGGCAUGCCUAACACAUGCAAGUCGAACGAGACCUUCGGGUCUAGUGGCGCACGGGUGCGUAACGCGUGGGAACCUGCCCUUGGGUUCGGAAUAACUCCCCGAAAGGGGUGCUAAUACCGGAUAAUGUCUUCGGACCAAAGAUUUAUCGCCUUUGGAUGGGCCCGCGUUGGAUUAGCUAGUUGGUAGGGUAAAAGCCUACCAAGGCGACGAUCCAUAGCUGGUCUGAGAGGAUGAUCAGCCACACUGGGACUGAGACACGGCCCAGACUCCGACGGGAGGCAGCAGUGGGGAAUAUUGGACAAUGGGCGAAAGCCUGAUCCAGCAAUGCCGCGUGAGUGAUGAAGGCCUUAGGGUUGUAAAGCUCUUUUACCCGGGAUGAUAAUGACAGUACCGGGAGAAUAAGCUCCGGCUAACUCCGUG